Molecule: ribosomal RNA, 253 nt
Filed under: uncultured bacterium
Lineage: Bacteria
Description: partial 16S ribosomal RNA
Rfam family: Bacterial small subunit ribosomal RNA
Source: RNAcentral
UACGGAGGGGGCGAGCGUUAUUCGGAAUUAUUGGGCGUAAAGGGCGCGUAGGCGGCUUGAUGGGUCAAAGGGGAAAUCCCUCGGCUCAACUGAGGAACUGCCUUUGAAACUGUCUGGCUUGAGGCCGGGAGAGGGUAGCGGAAUUCCCAGUGUAGCGGUGAAAUGCGUAGAUACUGGGAGGAACACCGGUGGCGAAGGCGGCUACCUGGACCGGAACUGACGCUGAGGCGCGAAAGCGUGGGUAGCAAACAGG